GGCCCACCUACCACGCUAAGUCAGGGGUAGGGCCGCCUUCCUGGAGGCGUUCGAUAAUACACAGGUUAGUAGUUAUGCUUCAGUUAUCCAGAGCCAAUACUCACAGCGAUCCUCUCGAUGAUUAGUUUACAAACUGCUUCGUUUCCUUCCUCCUUGGUUACUCCAAGCGUGUCACAAUCACCGUUGUUUUCUUCUACCCACAGGGUUUCCUCUACGGUAACAUCCACUGAGAAACACUACGCUCUGGGCAGCACACUCUCUCUUCGGGGUGCUCCUUUUCUCCUUCCACGUAUCGCCUUUCUUUCGCCCCAGGCAGCUCCUGUCUUCUCUCCGCGCGCUCCAAGCGCAGCCCGGAUCAACAGAGCCUGCGGGCUCUUCAAAAGUAAAGAGGUGGGACAUGAGGAUGCUGACAGGACAGGAGGAGGUGACAUACAGAACUGUGGGCUGCUGAUAUAUUUAUGUCUAAAGAGGACCUGAGAAGAAAA
This is a long non-coding RNA of Paramisgurnus dabryanus, 485 nucleotides long. RefSeq lists it as uncharacterized. Lineage: Eukaryota; Metazoa; Chordata; Actinopteri; Cypriniformes; Cobitidae. The record is from RefSeq and is a predicted model, not a curated record.